Molecule: ribosomal RNA, 253 nt
Filed under: uncultured bacterium
Lineage: Bacteria
Description: partial 16S ribosomal RNA
Rfam family: Bacterial small subunit ribosomal RNA
Source: RNAcentral
UACGGAGGGUACAAGCGUUAUCCGGAUUCACUGGGUUUAAAGGGUGCGUAGGCGGGCAGGUAAGUCCGUGGUGAAAUCUCUGAGCUUAACUCAGAAACUGCCAUGGAUACUAUUUGUCUUGAAUGUUGUGGAGGUAAGCGGAAUAUGUCAUGUAGCGGUGAAAUGCUUAGAUAUGACAUAGAACACCAAUUGCGAAGGCAGCUUACUACACAAAUAUUGACGCUGAGGCACGAAAGCGUGGGGAUCAAACAGG